RNAcentral lists this long non-coding RNA (252 nucleotides) under Elaeis guineensis (African oil palm). RNAcentral's name for it is "long non-coding RNA (EGUI_LNC011884)". The record is from RNAcentral. Lineage: Eukaryota; Viridiplantae; Streptophyta; Magnoliopsida; Arecales; Arecaceae.
CAGUGUCAAGAGAGAGUCCAGCAACCUAGAGAACAAAAGGAUGAGAGAGAAAAAUACAUGGUAUCAGACAGAGGGGUGAUGGCUGGCCAACUGUGGUGGAGCACAGCACCGGGUUAGGGGAGAGCUAUUAGCGGAAGGAGAGGCCGGCAACCGGUGGAGGAAGAGCUCAUCAUAAGGGGGAACAUCCCGAAUAAAGAAAUGGGGAUGAGGUGAGAGAUAAUAGAGAGAAAGAGAUGGAUGAAAGAGAGGGAA